CGGAUUGUAGUCUGCAACCCGACUACAUGAAGCUGGAAUCGCUAGUAAUCGCAGAUCAGAAUGCUGCGGUGAAUACGUUCCCGGGUCUUGUACACACCGCCCGUCACACCAUGGGAGUUGGAAAUGCCCGAAGCCAGUGACCCAACCGUAAGGAGGGAGCUGUCGAAGGUGGAGCCGAUGACUGGGGUGAAGUCGUAACAAGGUACC
Molecule: ribosomal RNA, 207 nt
Filed under: uncultured bacterium
Lineage: Bacteria
Description: partial 16S ribosomal RNA
Rfam family: Bacterial small subunit ribosomal RNA
Source: RNAcentral